AAGGGAGACCUAAUUCGGGUAUAAGACGAAAAAAGAGUAGUCGAAACCAAGAAUCAAUCCCAAAAGGUCGGAACGAGGUAUGUGGCUUUCAAACUAGGUUCUGGGUUCACAAAAGACCUGAAUCAGGAACAAGGGCUAUUAGCUCAGGUGGUUAGAGCGCACCCCUGAUAAGGGUGAGGUCCCUGGUUCGAGUCCAGGAUGGCCCACCUGCACAGGUGGCAAAAACAAGAGAAACGAGGAAUCAGCACCUUAUCUUACUUACAUAGUAAGAGAGAAUGCUGGCUCUGAGUAAAGAGUCCAGAGGAACCUUGAAAACUGCAUAGAGCUAGGUGAAAAAGCCAAAAAAGAAGACCGCAA
Molecule: transfer RNA, 357 nt
Filed under: uncultured Microcystis sp.
Lineage: Bacteria; Bacillati; Cyanobacteriota; Cyanophyceae; Chroococcales; Microcystaceae
Description: partial 16S-23S ribosomal RNA intergenic spacer
Rfam family: tRNA (bases 133-206)
Source: RNAcentral